GAUGAACGCUGGCGGCGUGCUUAACACAUGCAAGUCGAACGAUGAAGCCCAGCUUGCUGGGUGGUUUAGUGGCGAACGGGUGAGUAACACGUGAGUAACCUGCCCUUAACUCUGGGAUAAGCAUGGGAAACUGGGUCUAAUACCGGACAGGAGCGUCCACCGCAUGGAGGGUGUUGGAGAGAUUUAUCGGUUUUGGCUAGAUUCGCGGCGUAUCGGCUCUUUGGUCAGGUAAUGGUAAACCAAGGGCAUGCCGGGUAGCCGGCCCGUGAGCGGGACCGGCCACCAUGGGACUGCGGGACGGAGCAGUAUGCUACGGUAGGCAGCGGUGGGGAAUAUUGCGGAAUGGCGGCAAGCCUGUUGCGGCGGCGCUCCGUGCGUGAUGCCGGCCUUCGAGUUGUGAACCUCUUUCAGUAGGGAAGAAGAGAAAGUGACGGUACCUGCAGAAGAAGCACCGGCUAACUACGUG
Molecule: ribosomal RNA, 466 nt
Filed under: uncultured bacterium
Lineage: Bacteria
Description: partial 16S ribosomal RNA
Rfam family: Bacterial small subunit ribosomal RNA
Source: RNAcentral